This 89-nucleotide small nuclear RNA is filed under the name Neochlamydia sp. TUME1. RNAcentral describes it as "snR50". RNAcentral also lists the same sequence under 1 other name. Lineage: Bacteria; Pseudomonadati; Chlamydiota; Chlamydiia; Parachlamydiales; Parachlamydiaceae. The record is from RNAcentral.
GAAAAUACUGAGGGGGUUACCGCUUUUUUUCAGACCAUUCUUGAUGAAUGGAACGCAGGACGAACCUUUACUCAACCUCUCCACUAUUG